CGUCUCAUUAACAUAAUUUAUUCAGUUACACCGCCGCUCGUUGGGGAAGGGGAUUCUGUGUUGGAACCCCGCAAGUGACGUCAUGUCACCUCCAGCUGCCGCGUGACGUCACGAUAUAUUCGUAAACUGCUGCACCGCGCGCGUUCACUGAGAUCCGAGAUAUUAGGGGCUGAACGGGCAUGGCAUUGGCUAGAGAAGAGAUUGGAGGAUGUGGAGGUGAUCGGACCUGCCAAUGACUGGUGCCAGGAGUAAAGAUCGGCCUCUGUGGAGGAGGCCCAUAAGCUGACCCUUCUUCUGACGCUUCCUCUGCAGAAUUGUUUUGAUGGAGCAAAGGCACUCAGCGCAGCUUGGUAAAAAACAACAAUGGGACCAGUAUGCAAACAGCAUAGAUAGUACUGGAAAUUUAACACAGCACCAGAGAACUCAAACAGGAGAGAAACCCUUCAAGUGCACUGUGUGUGAGAAGACAUUUGCAUGGGCAUCAGGUCUUCAGGUCCACCAGAGAACACACACAGGAGAGAAACCCUUCAAGUGCAGUGUGUGUGAG
This is a non-coding RNA of Petromyzon marinus (sea lamprey), 547 nucleotides long. NCBI's taxonomy places the organism in Eukaryota, Metazoa, Chordata, Hyperoartia, Petromyzontiformes, Petromyzontidae. The record is from RefSeq and is a predicted model, not a curated record.